This 460-nucleotide ribosomal RNA is filed under the name uncultured bacterium. RNAcentral describes it as "partial 16S ribosomal RNA". It matches the Rfam family "Bacterial small subunit ribosomal RNA", at positions 338 to 795 of the family's 1533-position model. The record is from RNAcentral.
CCUACGGGAGGCAGCAGUGAGGAAUAUUGGUCAAUGGACGAGAGUCUGAACCAGCCAAGUAGCGUGAAGGAUGACUGCCCUAUGGGUUGUAAACUUCUUUUAUAAAGGGAUAAAACGAGACACGUGUGCCUUUUUGCAUGUACUUUAUGAAUAAGGAUCGGCUCACUCCGUGCCAGCAGCCGCGGUAAUACGGAGGAUCCGAGCGUUAUCCGGAUUGAUUGGGUUUAAAGGGAGCGUAGAUGGGUUGUUAAGUCAGUUGUGAAAGUUUGCGGCUCAACCGUAAAAUUGCAAUUGAUACUGGCAGGCUUGAGUACAGUGGAGGUAGGAGGAAUUCGUGGUGUAGCGGUGAAAUGCGUAGAUAUCACGAAGAACACCGAUUGCGAAGGCAGCUUACUAAACUGUGACUGACAUUGAUGCUCGAAAGUGUGGGGAGCAAACAGGAUUAGAUACCCCAGUAGUC